RNAcentral lists this ribosomal RNA (744 nucleotides) under uncultured bacterium. RNAcentral describes it as "bacterial SSU rRNA". It matches the Rfam family "Bacterial small subunit ribosomal RNA", at positions 8 to 796 of the family's 1533-position model. The record is from RNAcentral.
AGAGUUUGAUCAUGGCUCAGAACGAACGCUGGCGGCAGGCUUAACACAUGCAAGUCGAACGCGUGUAGCAAUACACGAGUGGCGCACGGGUGAGUAACGCGUGGAUAUCUGCCUUUUGGUUCGGAAUAACCCCGGGAAACUGGGGCUAAUACCGGAUGGUUCCUUCGGGAUAAAGAUUUAUCGCCAAAAGAUGAGUCCGCGUACGAUUAGCUAGUUGGUGAGGUAAUGGCUCACCAAGGCGACGAUCGUUAGCUGGUCUGAGAGGACGAUCAGCCACACUGGGACUGAGACACGGCCCAGACUCCUACGGGAGGCAGCAGUGGGGAAUAUUGGACAAUGGGGGCAACCCUGAUCCAGCCAUGCCGCGUGAGUGAUGAAGGCCUUCGGGUUGUAAAGCUCUUUUGGCGGGGACGAUGAUGACGGUACCCGCAGAAUAAGCCCCGGCUAACUUCGUGCCAGCAGCCGCGGUAAGACGAAGGGGGCUAGCGUUGUUCGGAAUUACUAGGCGUAAAGCGCGUGUAGGCGGUUGCCCAAGUCGGGUGUGAAAGCCUUGAGCUCAACUCAAGAAAUGCACUCGGUACUGGGUGACUAGAGGACCGGAGAGGAUAGUGGAAUUCCCAGUGUAGUGGUGAAAUACGUAGAGAUUGGGAAGAACACCAGUGGCGAAGGCGGCUAUCUGGACGGUUUCUGACGCUAAGACGCGAAAGCGUGGGGAGCAAACAGGAUUAGAUACCCUAGUAGUCC